AAAAGAAAUUCGGUGCAGGAUGAGUCCGCGUCUGAUUAGCUAGUUGGAGGGGUAAGAGCCCACCAAGGCAACGAUCAGUAGCCGGCCUGAGAGGGCGACCGGCCACAUUGGGACUGAGACACGGCCCAAACUCCUACGGGAGGCAGCAGUGGGGAAUAUUGCACAAUGGGGGAAACCCUGAUGCAGCGACGCCGCGUGAGCGAGGAAGUAUUUCGGUAUGUAAAGCUCUAUCAGCAGGGACGAAAAAAGACGGUACCUGACUAAGAAGCCCCGGCUAACUACGUGCCAGCAGCCGCGGUAAUACGUAGGGGGCAAGCGUUAUCCGGAUUUACUGGGUGUAAAGGGAGCGUAGACGGCAAGGCAAGCCAGAAGUGAAAGGGCAGGGCUCAACCCUGUACAUGCUUUUGGAACUGUGGUGCUAGAGUGCAGGAGAGGUAAGUGGAAUUCCUAGUGUAGCGGUGAAAUGCGUAGAUAUUAGGAGGAACACCAGUGGCGAAGGCGGCUUACUGGACUGUAACUGACGUUGAGGCUCGAAAGCGUGGGGAGCAAACAGGAUUAGAUACCCUGGUAGUCCACGCUGUAAACGAUGAAUACUAGGUGUUGGGGGCUGAAGCCUUCG
RNAcentral lists this ribosomal RNA (619 nucleotides) under uncultured bacterium. Its description in RNAcentral is "bacterial SSU rRNA". It matches the Rfam family "Bacterial small subunit ribosomal RNA", at positions 202 to 842 of the family's 1533-position model. The record is from RNAcentral.